This 340-nucleotide long non-coding RNA is filed under the name Numida meleagris (helmeted guineafowl). Its description in RNAcentral is "lncRNA (ENSNMEG00000014325.1)". Lineage: Eukaryota; Metazoa; Chordata; Aves; Galliformes; Numididae. The record is from RNAcentral.
UUUCAGUCCAGUCAGACACCCCGGUAUUAUGUCAGUGAAGAGGAUGUCCUGAUGCUCUUUACAAAUCCAUCCUUCAUAGUUCAUUAGAUCCUUGCAUUGGGGAACAUAUUGUUUGCCCUGCCACAGGGAAAGGAGAUGACAGAACUUGAAAUAUGAAAAUAUGAGGUGAAUAUUUGCUCCAGAAAAAUCCUGAGGACUUUGAACUGUGUUUGCCUAGCAUUACAGAUCCAUGGAAUAAAGGGGAAAAAGAAACUUGUGGGCAUGAAAAUGAACCUUCUGUUUAUGAUCUUUUGCUAGAUUUCAUCCUCUAAAUAUCAGAUACUUUAUUUUUACUUCACUA